Molecule: ribosomal RNA, 253 nt
Filed under: uncultured bacterium
Lineage: Bacteria
Description: partial 16S ribosomal RNA
Rfam family: Bacterial small subunit ribosomal RNA
Source: RNAcentral
UACGUAGGGCGCAAGCGUUGUCCGGAAUUACUGGGCGUAAAGGGCUCGUAGGCGGCCAACUAAGUCAGACGUGAAAUCCCUCGGCUUAACCGGGGAACUGCAUCUGAUACUGGAUGGCUUGAGAUUGGGAGAGGGAUGCGGAAUUCCAGGUGUAGCGGUGAAAUGCGUAGAUAUCUGGAGGAACACCGGUGGCGAAGGCGGCAUCCUGGACCAACACUGACACUGAGGAGCGAAAGCCAGGGGAGCAAACGGG